Taeniopygia guttata (zebra finch) is the source of this 5758-nucleotide long non-coding RNA. NCBI's taxonomy places the organism in Eukaryota, Metazoa, Chordata, Aves, Passeriformes, Estrildidae. The record is from Ensembl.
UGUUAUUCUGAUCCCUGUGAAGGACAAUUAUUUAGGCUUAUAUUUUCAGUUGGAGUUUCUAAGGCAGGCCUUCUCCAUUUUAUAACUCCAUGCUGCCUUUGUAUUAGUGUGAUUUACAGGUGUUUCCUUUUUUAUUUCUUCAGAAGCCAGUCACCACCAAGUGGACUCAUCUUCUUGGACUGUCAGCUCUCUCUAUAGAAAACAGAAAUUAAAAGCAUUUUACAAAAGAAAAGAGACAUAUUUUCUUUUUUUUUUUUUCUUAUCAUAAGGAACAAGUACAAGGUGCAGAAGGUAUUUCAGAUCUCUUUCUCAGGUUUUUUUACUAACACAAACAUAUCUACCCAUGUAUAAAUGCAUCUGGUCUGGCAGUCUUGAAAAUGUUUCCUGAGCUGUAUUUUUCCUCUCCUUCUCUAUAGACAAUGACAGCUUUAGUAGGAACAUAGAGCAUUUAUAUCACAACAAUGAGCAUUCUGAAAUACACUGAGCUGAGUGGGGGUGAAAGCUCCCCCACAAUUACUAAAAUGAAUCACAGGUAAAACAUCACAGGUAAAACAAUGUCAACAUUGGUUGUUGAUAUUGUUUUAUUCUCCUAAACCAUGAAUGCAGAAAAUACAUUAUCUACCCAUUGAAUUACUAUAGCAGAGCUGUCAAAUAAUCUCACUACUGCCUCUGUUUAAUAAAGCCUCAGAAAACAAAUCCCAAACCACAGUUCUCUGUCUUGAUUGAGAGAGUUCUGCAUAUUGUGACCUGUCACCUUUGCAGGCUGCAGUGUCUUCUUGCCUCAGAGCCCAAGUUUUGGCUCUCAGAAAAUAACCUGGUCCACUUAGUUCUCCAGGUGUAUUAAUGCUACUUACCCUUUGCAUUAAGAGGGCAAAUAAGGAAAAUGAAAACAAACUGAAAAUCUCAUUAUAAAAAAAAUUCAGUUUGCCAUCUGUAAAGAUUCUGUAUUGCUUCAUUAGGGAUUUUCUUACUUACCAGGAGACCAAUGGGAAAAGCAAAGCUUGGGGGGUUUUCCAUCUUUUCUGGUUUUAUUAAGAUAUUUAAACAAGCAGAAACAGAAUACCAACAGAAAAUGUCUUACAAUCCACUCCUAAGCAGUGGUUUGGAUGUCUCCAGAAGUCCUGUUCUCUCACCUUGAAAUUCUAAGUUUUCAGCCACAGAAAACCUUCAUCCAUACCUAAAUUAGGAAUAAGCAUAUUAAUACAAAUUUCUAGAACUUUUUCAAUCAAAAUUUCUUUGAUCAGUCCAGAGCUUUCAAUAUAAACUUAUUUCUACAAGUAUUUUAAGCAGUGUGUAAGAAGGUGGCCUUAGCUGGAUUCUAAGCCUGGACUAUGAGAGCGCCUCUUUAACACUGCGAGGAGUACCAGUGUGGUUCAUUCAGGUUGUGACAAGGCCACCACCAUCACAUAUGUUCAACCAGCCCAGCCAAGCACCAGCAUUCUUGCAUUAGAGAAUGCAGAGUGCCAGAUCCCUGUGCACAGUGGCUGGGACUGGUCUGCAGGACGAGUCCCUGCCUCCGUCCUGGCUAUAGCUACAGUUCAGACUGUCCUGAAAACCUUGUAGCUGCUUGCUGGCAACGUAGUGGGGCAGUGACUCGAGGGAAUGGACGUGACAUGGCACAUCACAACCUAGCAACCAGCAGCAGGAUUGCUGGAAAGGAAAUGCUGUGCUUGCCAACAGGACCCAUCUUCUCAGCUACCAAAUAGUCACACUGCAAAUCUUAAAUGUAUUUUGAGACAGUUUCAACCAGAGAAAUUUGAUGUGAUAGAUAAAAUUCACAGGGGCUGGCCUCUAGCAAAGCAGCAGUUACAAGAGAAAUCAUGCAGCCAUCUGGCUGGCUAAAUUUUGACAUAGCAUGUGGGAUUCUGGAAAAGUCCCAGAGCAUUAGAGAAACAUCAGACUAGGGGGAAAAAUCAGAUUCAGUUCUACACAUCUCCCAGUUGCCUCAUGGUCACUAAAGGCAAGAGUGUGCGGGCUUGUCACACAGACACUGAAACACUGCUCCAGUACAGGUCCCUGGGAGACUUCAGCAUCAGCAACAUGAAGAGUCUAAGAGACACCACCUGAUCCAUCUGAUAGAACAGGGAAAACAAGGUGUAAAUUGCAUUCAACUAUUGAUUUAGCUCCAUACAAAUUUCACUCUAGUUAUAGAAACCAAAACAAACAACACUACAAAUGUACACUAUGUACAUGCAGACUCAAACAAUUGCUGUUGAGAGCAAAUGGUGACUGAAGCAAAGGUAAGCCAAAUAACAAAAUAUCCUUUUGUAUCUGCACUGCCUACUAAGAUGUUAAACCUUCUUUCACUUGUUUCUAGCUCUCCCUCCAAGGAAAUUCGUGUUAGAAAACAAAUAGCCAGAUGAAAAAAUAGUUACUUGUAUCGAAGGAAAAGCUGAGCCAUUUGAACAAAGAAUGGAAGAAUAACAGGACGUGACUCCUGAUAAACAGCUGUGUAAGUCAGGAAAGACAGUUCAGUCUUGAAGAGCUCUCAAGAGCCUGUACUGGUAGCAGAAGUCAAUGAGGGACAGUGCUGAAAUUUCUAGAUUGCAUAUAGGGAACUGCAGUAGAAUGCUAAAUUCAAUGCAUGCCUAAUGGAAAACUUGGAUUAAUCAUCUGAAUAAAAAUAACACAGUUAAAAUGCUUGUUGUGAUACUGCUGUCUUCCUGAAAAUGUUAGUAUGACUUGUGUAUUUUAAUUACUACCUUAAAUACAUUUUUGCUUUACUUGCAAAUGCCUUUUCAUGUACAGAAUCAAAGUCAAUGGAAAAUAACAGCAAGUUAUUUUCCAUUGCCAAGUGUGCCCUCAAAGACAGGUGUCCAAUGUCACUAAGGACAAGCCAUGCCUGUAAAUUCAUCCACUUUUCCCUUUCCUCUGAUACUUCAUUUUACACAUUUCCACACACUGAAAGGCACCAAGGCUCCAUUGAGGCAGUAGAACAAUGCUCAGCACCUGGUAUCCAUCACAGCCUGGGAUUAAAUGUCCAGUAAGUGACAUGUAGUUGAUCCAUUUUACAAAACUUAUUCAUUCUCAAAUAUUACAUCUUGUGAAUGAUACAAAGUCUCCAUGCAGAUUAAAUUGCCAGUGUUCAGCUCAACCUUUGCCUUCUUUUUAGCAGAGUGAUUUUGUUCCAUAAGGCCCCUGGGAAAAAAAUGCCACUGUUAACUUUUUUCCUGAAUUUAAGUUUUUCCAUAGUGGAACAGCUUUUGCCUUAAUGGCCUUUGGGUUUUAGCUCAGUUAACAUAUGUAAAUAAAAUAUUUCAGACUUCUUAAUCAGCAUCUUCUCAUCUUUGUUUAGGCCUUGGUGUAUAAUUUGUUAUUUAUAUGAUAUCUAAGGAAAAAUAUAGCUUUGUAUGAAGUUAAAGGAAAUGUUUCAAAUGUCAAUUUAAGGCAUGUAUCAGAAAAUAUUUUUUGCUCCGUGCUUUCCUGUUAAAAUACUAUUUCACCAUUCAUAUGACCAUUCUGUACUCUAAGUUGUCUGCCCAAAGUCAACUGUGUUACAGAAUCAUAGGAAAGGUGAGCAGCAGGGACAGAGGGAGGUGGUCAUCCUUUAGCAGCCUCUUUCCCAAACUAAACAUGUGCCUUCCUUGAGGGCUUUGACUCCUCAUGGAAUAUGUGCUCCAAAUCCCCUGCCAGCACGAUAGUUUAGACUCUGUGCUUCUAGCUGAUUUCUUUCUCCCUUUUGUCUCUAUUUCUGCAAUGAUGUUACCAUGGACACCCUAUGGCUUCCUUCAGUUAAAAGACAUAACUUUUACAUUUUAAUUUACUCAAAACCAAAACUGCUUUACAAUAACUGAAGAAAAUAAAAAGGACAUAGCAUUCCUUUUUCCUCCAAAAAGGAGGAAAAUUGAGCAUAAGUCAUGUUUCACUUUAAAAAGGCUGGCCAUUUCCAGGUUCUGUCAUACUUGCAGUAAAACCAUUAAUCAUCAUAAACUCAUUUUGUCUAAAAGCAGAGGUAAUACAUUUUUCCAUGUAAAUCACUUCAUUGCCAUGACAGAAUGAUGUCAUAGAAUCAAAAUAGGUGAUAUUAUAAAUUAUCCUUUUGGAACAUUGUUUAGCACUAAAGGUUAUAGGAGGGGAGAGAGGGGACAAGAUUGAUGCCAGCUGCUAAAGAGUAAAAAUUGAUUUUUAUUUUCAUUAAAUAGACCUAAAUACUGUAUUGACACAGACUCACUUUUACAGACUAAGAAAAUAUACACACAGCUUAAAAAUGGUGCAGUAAGAACCCAAAGCCUUUCUAGAAUAAAAAUCAAUCUCCAGUUAAUAGUUUGUAAAAGAUGAUUAAAAUAAUAAUUAAUAUUGCAGAUUUUAAUUUCUUCCCUUUAUAAAGCACGAUUUUUGAAAGUCAGGGCUUCACAGUCACCAUUUGUAUAGGCACAUACAGUUGAACACAUAUGAACUGAAAUUACCUUAGCAUGUAGUUUGGCUGUGUGCAUAAGAAUACUCAAACAAGGAAGCAGUAGUACAGGAGAGAAAUAGAAUUUUAUUUCUCCCCCUCCAAAAGCAAGCAACCUUGUCUGAACUACAGCCUAUACCUUAACAAAAAUGGAACUAUUUUCUGAAAUCCUGCAGUAGCCUUGUAGAACAAAUAUAUAUGUAUGGCAUCAUGGAAAAGGGAAGGAUUGGGACCAAACCCACAAGUCAAAGCUAUUACUUCCCAUUUCUCUCUGCAAGAUUUCAAGUCAAAGUUUGGAAGAAAUUACUGAUUUUGGUUUGAUUCAAACCUUGGCUUUUUUCUAUUCAGUCUUUUUUAUUCCUUUGGAGAAAACAUGAAAACAAACUGGGGAAACAGCUGAAAAUCUGUUUCCCACAGGUUUAAUCCCUCCCCCUUGCUGCAGCCAUGGUAUGUGUAAUCACAGCCCUGCUGGGUGAGGCAGAGCAAUUCUCUUUCCACACAGCUGAUCUAAUCUGAGGUGUGCAACAGCCCACACAGAACAGCUGCAAUGAAAAAGCAAGUCCCUUUUAAAAACAUCCGUUUCCUAGACAUCCUUUUCCUAGAUAAAAUGGAAGGCUGGAUAGCCCCUCAGCAUUUAUCCAGACCUUAAAAUGGGUCCCACAGGGCUGAGGCUCUUUCAGCUUCCCAGUCAGCAACUUCAAAGCCAGGUUUUCAUACAUGAGACUUUUAACUUAGACACCCUGAAGAAACAAAUACCAUCAUGCAGAAUACCUACUCUGGGCAGAAGAGAAUUAACACUCAAAAGUAUGGAUUUGUUCCUAUUGAUGUUCAAAUUACAACACCUGACUCCAAAGGAGAAGCAGUUUUCUUGGACCAGUUUAUUUCUGUAAAAUGUAAAAUUUCUGUACAAUGUUAUGCACAAUGGUUAACACAAAUGUUUUAAUUACCCAUUUCAUCCUGAAGCACAGCACACAGUCCUGUGACAUGGCCUGACUUGACCUAGCAGGUCACUGCUGCAUGAAGAGGGGUGGUCUCCAGCACUGCAGAGCUGAGCUGCCAGCUGAGCUCUGGUGCUCAUCCAACACUGCCAUCACUGUGACAGUGACACCCUCAGCCUGACAAGAAGCUGCCUGAACACAGAGGCACCUGUCAGGAGCUGCAGCCUCCAAGAGAUGCACAGGGUAGUGUGGAUGAAAGCAAGGCAGGGGGGCAGGGUGUCAUUUUCAGAGGCAGUGACCUGUUUGGCCAGCUCAGCUGCUCAUGCAAUUAAAGCCUCAGCUCUUCUGCCUGGCCAAUUUUCAAACUUACCUCACAAACUUCAGUUUCCUCCUCUGUUGCGGGAAAAAAAAAAAAAAAAAAAAAAAA